This 301-nucleotide ribosomal RNA is filed under the name uncultured Ferroglobus sp. RNAcentral describes it as "bacterial SSU rRNA". The stretch from base 55 to 301 matches the Rfam family "Bacterial small subunit ribosomal RNA", at positions 548 to 795 of the family's 1533-position model. Lineage: Archaea; Methanobacteriati; Methanobacteriota; Archaeoglobi; Archaeoglobales; Archaeoglobaceae. The record is from RNAcentral.
AAGCUGGUGGUGGGGCGGCGUCGACGGUAAGUCAGAGGGGGCAGUGGUGGGACAGAAUGAGUGGGGGUAGAGCGGGUGUAGGCUGAGAUGUAAGUCGUACGUGAAGGCCCUGGGCGUAACCAAGGAAGUUCAUCCGGUACGCUGUCGCGUGAGUACCGGAGGGGAGGGCGGAAUUCCCGGUGUAGAGGUGAAAUUCGUAGAUAUCGGGAGGAACACCUGUGGCGAAGGCGGCCAUCUGGACGGUAACUGACGCUGAGACGCGAAAGCGUGGGUAGCAAACAGGAUUAGAUACCCAGUAGUC